This 84-nucleotide transfer RNA is filed under the name Thermoproteota archaeon. Its description in RNAcentral is "tRNA-Ser". It matches the Rfam family "tRNA". From Rfam's summary of the family: Transfer RNA (tRNA) molecules are approximately 80 nucleotides in length. The record is from RNAcentral. Lineage: Archaea; Thermoproteati; Thermoproteota.
GCAGAUGUGGCAGAGUGGUAAUGCGUCGGCCUUGAGAGCCGAUUCGCCUUCAGGCGAUCAGGAGUUCGAAUCUCCUCAUCUGCG